UUUGGUUAGUUUUGGCACAACUUGGGGAACCUCAAAUAUUCAUGCAAAGCAGCACAAUGCCAAGUGUUUAACAAAGUGGCUCCAGUGUUUUGCAGUAGCUCAUUUCCAUUUAUGUACACCCAUCUCUUAACACUGUCUGGUAGAUGUGGUCCCAGUGCCACUGGAACCUAAGUUAAACCUGGGCACUGUGCUAUGCUUAAUUGAAGAGCCCCAUUUUGUGUGCUAAUGGUGCUUUAUUGUACUUAUUAGUAGUACUUAUUAGUAUUGUGUGUGUACUGGUCACAACAGAAACCAAGGUCACGCUGAGUGCUGGUGCUGUGCUGACCUGUCAAGUAAGAGUGCACAAGCUCUAUUUUAACUGCAGGAUUUCAAUGCCUUUCUGCACAGCUAAAUCAUCUGCUCCAAGUACUCCAGUGUCUGCUAUCUUCUGUCUGCGUCUACUGCUAGCAUGAACUUGAGUGACUGAUCAGUAGAAUGAUUAAUGGUAGAGAGGGCCAGCAAGGACUAUUAAACACACGAGUCCAGAAUCAAACACUGGCUUAAGAAGCUUUCAACCACCGGUUGUCAAGAGACUAAAAGAGCGGAAGUAUCACUUUGUGGUUGCUUGCUACACGCUUUCCUUAACAAUUUUUGGGACUCUUGCCCCAUCUCCCAAGUGGAAGAGGAGUUGCAGUCCUUAUGGUCUCCGUGCAUGAUUCGUGAAUUUCCCAGAUGAUUCUCCUGAGUGACAGGAAUACUAAGGCACAGAAGGGUGAACUCAUUUGGACCAAGACUGAUCUGCAGGUCUCUAGUCCGGGCUCUUCACUAGGCUGUCACUCUCUGCAUGUGAGACAUUCUCAGAAUGACUAGGGGUAACACCCCGACCCUUUGUUCCCUCGCAGA
This is a long non-coding RNA of Cygnus olor (mute swan), 882 nucleotides long. RefSeq lists it as uncharacterized. The record is from RefSeq and is a predicted model, not a curated record. NCBI's taxonomy places the organism in Eukaryota, Metazoa, Chordata, Aves, Anseriformes, Anatidae. The transcript is spliced from 4 exons.